GCAUAACCCUUGCUCUCCCCCAUCCCUCAUUCUCCCUCCCCAUACCUCUAUCUCUGGAUCUGGCAGCUGGCAUGUAGUCCACCCAGCAUCGUUCAACCCCUCUGGCUGACACUCAAUGCUUUUUGUUUUUUCAUUCUCAAUGCUGCAGCUGUGCUUGGCUGUCACCCUCCACACAGAGGGUGUCUCUGCCACCACCCCGGCCCCGCUCCAGGACAACUGCUCAUUGACAAAGGUCCUUGAUGUUUUCUGAGGCACCCCUCAUGUCGAACAAGGGCAGGGAUGGAGAAGAGUUUGAGGAGUUAGCCAGACCAGAACCUCCACCACAGAAGCCUGUCCACAGACCAGGUAAAGAAAUGUACACUCAGGAGAGAAGGCGGACCCUCCAGGAGAGGACAAUGCCUUCUCAACAGGAACCUCCAGUUAGGCAGCAAGUCCCGAAGAUGAUGCCCAGAGAACCCAGUCUCCCUGCCAGAAGCAUGUCUCUGCGAAAAGCUAUGUCUCUCCAGAACUUGAGCCAGAUAGAGACACCCUGGGAAGGGGUCACCCUCAACCGCUGUCUGUUCAUAGCCAUCACCAUCCUGCUGUUCAGCACUGUCUUUCAGAAACUACACGAAACCAUAAAAGGUGGACGGGGUGUGGAGGAAGAGGAGUAUGACAUUGCACUGACUGUGAGGCGCUCUGCGCUGAGACACAAAGUCCAACCACAGGAGGUAGUGGUACAGACAUACAAAAUACUCUCCCGUCUCUCUGGGCUCAGAAACCUCAUUCCCGACAUGCCAAAGACAUCUCUGUAUGAGGUGCUCUUCUGGUGGUUACCUGACAUUGAUGACGAUAAUGAAGAAGAAGCUGAUGAAGAGGAAACCAAACAAGGUCGAGUGAAGAAAAGGGUUCGAGAGAGGUCGCUGAAGGGCCUGAGAGGCAAUGGAACACCAGAGAGAAAACUUGUAAAAGGCAGAGAGGGGAAGACAAAAGAUAAGAGGGCCAAGAGAGAGAGGGAUGAAGAAACUAAGGGAAAGACAAAGGGAAAACAGGCCAAGCUGGGAGAUGUGGAAAAAAUGGAUGAGGAAAUAAAAGGGGAAGAUGAGGUAAAACCCAAGAAGCUACAAAAGGUUAUGAAAUCAAAAGCCAGCAAAUCUUAA
Molecule: long non-coding RNA, 1139 nt
Filed under: Oncorhynchus kisutch (coho salmon)
Lineage: Eukaryota; Metazoa; Chordata; Actinopteri; Salmoniformes; Salmonidae
Description: lncRNA (ENSOKIG00005050195.1)
Source: RNAcentral